RNAcentral lists this ribosomal RNA (722 nucleotides) under Tritonoharpa sp. MNHN IM200742769. RNAcentral's name for it is "partial 16S ribosomal RNA". The stretch from base 1 to 598 matches the Rfam family "Bacterial large subunit ribosomal RNA", at positions 1803 to 2925 of the family's 2925-position model. Lineage: Eukaryota; Metazoa; Mollusca; Gastropoda; Neogastropoda; Cancellariidae. The record is from RNAcentral.
UUUAUCAAAAACAUGGCUCUUUGGUAAUAUUAAUAUAAAGAGUCGGACCUGCCCAGUGAAAUAAAUUUUUAACGGCCGCAGUACCCUGACUGUGCAAAGGUAGCAUAAUAAUUUGCUCUAUAAUUGAGGGCUAGAAUGAAUGGUUUGACAAGAGUGAUUCUGUCUCUUUAUAAUUUUAUAAAAUUUAAUUUUCAGAUGAAGAAGUCUGAAUAAUAUUAAAAGACAAGAAGACCCUAUCGAGCUUAAAAUAAAUUAAUAAAUUUAAAAUAAUUAAUAAAAAAUAUUAUUAUUAAAAAUUUUAGUUGGGGCAACUAAGGAACAAAGAAAACUUCCUUUAAAAUAAAAUUGAUAUUAUAAAUUAUGAUCCAAAAAUUUUGAUUAAAAAAAUUAGUUACCGUAGGGAUAACAGCAUAAUUUUUUUUAAGAGUUCUUAUCGAAAAAAAAGUUUGUGACCUCGAUGUUGGACCAGAAUAUCCUAAAGAUGCAGAAGUCUUUAAGGGUUGGUCUGUUCGACCAUUAAAAUUCUACGUGAUCUGAGUUCAGACCGGCGUGAGCCAGGUCAGUUUCUAUCUAUAAUUAUUAUUUUAAAUUUAGUACGAAAGGACCAGUUUAAAAAUAUAAAAUAUUUGUUAUGAAAAAAUAUAAUAUUUUAAGUAAUGUUAAAUUAGCAAACAUUAACUGUAAUCGAUUUCGGAUCCAUAGAUAUAGGGGAAAGUCCUUUA